UACGAAGGGGGCUAGCGUUGCUCGGAAUCACUGGGCGUAAAGCGCACGUAGGCGGCUUAUUAAGUCAGGGGUGAAAUCCUGGAGCUCAACUCCAGAACUGCCUUUGAUACUGGCGAGCUUGAGUCCGGGAGAGGUGAGUGGAACUGCGAGUGUAGAGGUGAAAUUCGUAGAUAUUCGCAAGAACACCAGUGGCGAAGGCGGCUCACUGGCCCGGUACUGACGCUGAGGUGCGAAAGCGUGGGGAGCAAACAGG
This 253-nucleotide ribosomal RNA is filed under the name uncultured bacterium. RNAcentral's name for it is "partial 16S ribosomal RNA". It matches the Rfam family "Bacterial small subunit ribosomal RNA", at positions 524 to 776 of the family's 1533-position model. The record is from RNAcentral.